Long non-coding RNA from Vespula pensylvanica (western yellowjacket), 470 nucleotides. RefSeq lists it as uncharacterized. The record is from RefSeq and is a predicted model, not a curated record. NCBI's taxonomy places the organism in Eukaryota, Metazoa, Arthropoda, Insecta, Hymenoptera, Vespidae. The transcript is spliced from 2 exons.
GAUGUUGACGAUGACGACGAUGAGAGGGUGUUCGUGAAAUUUUGUAAAGGCCACGCUCGGAACGCCAUCUGUCGAGAAGAAGAUGAAACACUGAUGUGUUUUAUCUCGCCUAACUUCAUCCCCUCCAAUUCUGAAGCUCAUACACUCUCUCUCUUUCUUUCUCUCUCUCUCUUUCCUCUCUCUAUAUAUCUCUCUCUCUCUCUCUCCGAUACGACUCAUCGGCGAAGCUUAAAGCGCAUCGAAGAUGGCGACAGGAGGGUAGGGUCGAGUCAGUCGCUUAGAAAGGAAGCUUACUCCUCGUCCGUUAAACGACCAUAAACGUCGACGUAAUGUCGUAUCUGAUGGUGGUGGUGGGUACUUUUUCCUAACUAGGAUUCUCCCCGAAAAAAGGAACGGGGGUGUGCUGCGCGUUACUAACUAACAAAUUUAAUCAAUAUUAUCAAAACUAUUCGCAUUUUUAUUUCCAAGAA